Molecule: long non-coding RNA, 475 nt
Organism: Gigantopelta aegis
Lineage: Eukaryota; Metazoa; Mollusca; Gastropoda; Neomphalida; Peltospiridae
Exons: 3
Source: RefSeq, a predicted model, not a curated record
UUCGUCAUAGGUUUUGGAGGCGUCCACGACUGUUAUACCAGGCACUAUAAUCAGAAGAGAAGCAAAUGUGGUCCAGUAGGCACGUUUCACAUCGAUAUGCGCGGAACAGGACUGAAGAUUGACGACGACCUUGAGUGGAUGCCUCAAGGACAGUAUUCGUAUGGAGAAUGGACCAGAGGCCAUGGAAAUGCCACCGUGGACAUCCUGGCAGGCGGCGAGUGCGGCGGACUGAAACCCAUCGGGCCCAUGCUUCUCAUGCUUAAUCCAAACGAUAUAUACUAAAGUUUUAAACGUCGAAGUCGGACAAUCGACAAAUGGCUUCCAGGUACAAGAAAAGUUCGUCAUCUGUUAAUCAUCAACAAAUAUAUGAAACGUGAAUCACACUUGAGAUUCGUUCAACAGUUUAACCAGGCGCCGAUCUAGGGAAGGCGCUGAGGGACGUGCCCACCCCUUUGUUUCGCCGACGUCAAAAUAC